Solanum tuberosum (potato) is the source of this 2241-nucleotide RNA transcript. It is a transcript of the gene named glycine oxidase, with no coding region annotated. The transcript has 11 exons. NCBI's taxonomy places the organism in Eukaryota, Viridiplantae, Streptophyta, Magnoliopsida, Solanales, Solanaceae. The record is from RefSeq and is a predicted model, not a curated record.
UAUAUCUUUCCGUCGUUUCUCUGCAAUUUGUUCUCUAUCCUUGCAGUUCGCUGAUCAAGUGUUCAAUGUUUGCACACUGACACAAAAAGCAAUCUGAAAAGACUUAACUCGUGCCGCAGGAAAUCCACAAAAAUGGCAGCAAUAUCCUACAAAAUUACUAUAAACUCUAAUCUCAAUACCAAUGGCCUACUAUCACCUCCUCCAAACAAGCUACACUCACAUCUUUUACCCUCAAAUCAAAAAUUUUGUGGCCACAGGAUCCUUGCAAGUCCACCUCUAUCAUUGAUUCGAAGUAAUAAAAGUUGGCAUGGAUUACUUCGAGUUUCGAAUUUGAGUCAGUCUUCCGUGUCUAACUCCUUUGAUGUUGUCAUAGUUGGUGCCGGAAUCAUUGGAUUGACCAUCGCACGCCACUUGCUCCUUGCCUCAGAUCUCUCCGUCGCCCUAGUUGAUGCUGCUGUUCCUUGCUCUGGCGCAACAGGAGCAGGUCAAGGAUACAUAUGGAAGGCACACAAAUCACCCGGUACUGAGAAAUGGGAGUUAAUGAUGCGAAGCCAUCAAUUAUGGGAGAGUCUAGCCAAGAGCAUUCAACUUCAAGGGAUGGAUCCUUUAGAGGUACUUGGCUGGAAGAAGACAGGAAGCCUUUUAGUAAGUAAAACAACAGAUGAGUCAGCAAUAUUAAAAAGGAGGGUGGAGGAGCUAUCACAGGAGGGAUUGAGAGCUGAGUUCUUGUCUUCCAAUGACUUGCUAUCAGAAGAACCGGAACUGGUGCUUGAGAAGGAAGGUGGGGCGGCUUUUUUCCCCGAUGAUUACCAAUUAGACGCUCAUCGUACUGUUGCAUUUAUUGAGAAGGGUAACAGGCAUUUUGCUGUGGAAGGGAGAUAUGCCGAAUUUUAUCAUGAACCUGCCAUUGGAUUAGUUAGACAUGGAAAUAGCUGCGAGGUUGGAGCUAUUCAAACUUCCAAGAAUACAUUGCACAGUAAGAAGGCUGUUGUGAUUGCAGCAGGUUGUUGGACUGGGUCUUUGAUGCACGACCUGAUUAAGCAACCAGAUAUUGAACUCGACCUUCCUAUAAAGCCUCGAAAGGGUCACCUGCUUGUGAUAGAGAAUUUCAAGUCGUUCAAGCUGAAUCAUGGAAUUAUGGAGGCAGGGUAUACCAAGCAUCAGUCGGCAACCCUUAAAGCUACUGCAUCUGAUUCAGGGCCUGUCUAUAAUGCACAAGAUUUGUCUGUUUCAAUGACGGCAACCAUGGAUGCGUCAGGCAAUCUCGUCCUUGGGAGUAGCCGACAACUUGUUGGGUUUAACACAGAGGUAGAUGAAUCUGUCAUCAACCACAUAUGGAAGCGGGUUGGAGAGUUCAUACCUGCUUUAAGACAUGAGUCUCUUGAAGAUUUGCGUCAAAGCAGAGAAGUUAGAGUAGGACUGAGACCUUACAUUCCUGAUGGAAAGCCUGCCAUUGGGCUUGUUCCUGGAUUUUCAAACGUCUUUCUUGCUGCGGGGCAUGAAGGAGAAGGACUGUCGCUGGCUCUAGGAACAGCUGAAAUGAUUGCUGAUAUGGUGUUGGGAAAUCCUUCUAUAGUAGAUACAGCACCUUUUGCUCUGCUAGGCCGGUGCUUCCACUAAAUAGUGAGCCCAAUGCCAUGAUUGAACAUUAAUAAAGCCGAAAUUUGAAUGCCCUCCACCCUGAAGAUGACAAAAGCUCCUGGAAAUCCAAAAUCUCGGUCAGCCUCAAAUGUCAAUUCAUACUUAAUACAAGUGUUGCCAUUAGGCUUGUUGUGGAUAUGUUUCCCAUGAUUCAGGUGCACUUCUUGACUCAGCUUUCCUUUCCCCGUACCUAUCCAAAUGGAAAAAGGAACAGAAGCAAGUCUAUUACAGUUGAGCCUUGACACUUCCUUGAAACUUAUUCAAACAAUCAAUCAUCCUUGAACGUUGUCUCGUAUGUACCAUGGCUGGUGUCCAAAUAGUAUCUAAAAUUUUCUGAUCAUCCACUUUAUAAAUGUGAUAUAGAGAAAGGUAAUGUGAGGAGAUGAAUUUACAAGAUGAGAAAGAUAGUCAUAGCUUGAGUUUUUAGCAUUGCAUCAGAUUCAUUGCCUUGCUUUGAGGUUUUCUUGCUAGUGCUCCACCAGAUUCUUAUGUGCUAAAGCACUAAAAUUUAUUUUACUAGAGGUAUGCCUUUGAGUCCUACCAAGUUCCCAUUUCUAUGGGUUCAACAUAUAAUAACAUAUAUACAUUUCAAUUUUUUUU